This 432-nucleotide ribosomal RNA is filed under the name uncultured bacterium. RNAcentral describes it as "partial 16S ribosomal RNA". It matches the Rfam family "Bacterial small subunit ribosomal RNA", at positions 29 to 507 of the family's 1533-position model. The record is from RNAcentral.
AGUGAACGCUGGCGGCAGGCCUAACACAUGCAAGUCGAACGGAUUAUUCGGGGUUACUGGCGGACGGGUGAGUAGACCGUGGGAACGUGCCUUUUAGUCCGCCUGAGCGCAGGGAAUAAUGUCCUAUAACGAGCGCGAACAUCGCGGGAAAGAUGAAGCACAAUUAGAGGGGCCCUCGGCUGAUUAGCUAGUUGGUGAGGCAACGUCUCACCAACGCGACGAUCAGUAGCUGGUCUGAGAGGAUGACCAGCCACACUGGGACUGAGACACGGCCCAGACUCCUACGGGAGGCAGCAGUGGGGAAUCUUGCGCAAUGGGCGAAAGCCUGACGCAGCCAUGCCGCGUGAAUGAUGAAGGUCUUAGGAUAGUAAAAUUCUUUCACCGGGUACGAUAAUGACGGUACCCGGAGAAGAAGCCCCGGCUAACUUCGUG